UGUGAUAGACUUGAGGUGGGAAGCGUCAAGGAGGAUCCCUGGCGGCGAGGGCAUGCUCUGGUUGUAGAAGAAAACAAAAACUACCUGGGAGUUAAUAAAGACAACUGUGAAGACUGGGAACGUAGCUCAGGGGUAGAGCACUUGCCUGGCUCGUGCAAGGCCCUAGGUUCCAAAACACAACUCUGAAUAUCAAAAAAGAAGACUUAAAAAUGGAAGACAAGCCGGGCACGGUGGCACACACCUGUAAUCCUGGUGGCUUGGGAGGCUGAGGCAGGAGGAUCACAAAUUAAAAGCCAGCCUCAGCAAAAGCGAGGUGCUAAGCAACUCAGUGAGACCUGUCUCUAAAUAAAAUACAAAAUAGGGCUUGGGUGAGGCUCAAUGGUCAAGUGCCUCUGAGUUCCAUCCCUGGUACCCGCCCCCCGCAAAAGAAAAAAAAAAGGAAGAUAAACCACAAUGUGGUCCGUUCUUGCCUAGUCAACCUAGAAAAGUCAUUGCCUUUCCAGCCAAAACUCUGAUGGAAUUCUUACAGGAGGGGAAAUGGAUUGUUGAUAAAAAUUAUUCCGAAGCUUUAUCUGGAGAAGAAAUGCAGGAAAGUAACCAAUAAAAUACUGAAAAGUCAAGAAGGGGUGAUUUGCUCUCCCAGG
Molecule: long non-coding RNA, 644 nt
Filed under: Marmota monax (woodchuck)
Lineage: Eukaryota; Metazoa; Chordata; Mammalia; Rodentia; Sciuridae
Source: RNAcentral